GGAAUUUUGCGCAAUGGGGGAAACCCUGACGCAGCGACGCCGCGUGGAGGAUGAAGGCCUUCGGGUCGUAAACUCCUGUCAGAGGUGAAGAAUACCCGCAAGGGUUUGACGGUAACCUCAGAGGAAGCCCCGGCUAACUACGUGCCAGCAGCCGCGGUAAUACGUAGGGGGCAAACGUUGCUCGGAAUUACUGGGCGUAAAGGGUGAGUAGGCGGCUGGGCAAGUCAAGGAUGAAAUCCCGUGGCUUAACUGCGGAACUGUCCUUGAAACUGCCUAGCUUGAGGAUAGUUGAAGAGAAGGGAAUUCCCGGUGGAGCGGUGAAAUGCGUAGAUAUCGGGAGGAACACCUGAGGCGAAGGCGCUUCUCUAAGCUACUCCUGACGCUGAAUCACGAAAGCUAGGGGAGCAAACGGGAUUAGA
This 419-nucleotide ribosomal RNA is filed under the name uncultured bacterium. RNAcentral's name for it is "bacterial SSU rRNA". It matches the Rfam family "Bacterial small subunit ribosomal RNA", at positions 358 to 782 of the family's 1533-position model. The record is from RNAcentral.